RNAcentral lists this ribosomal RNA (321 nucleotides) under uncultured bacterium. RNAcentral describes it as "bacterial SSU rRNA". It matches the Rfam family "Bacterial small subunit ribosomal RNA", at positions 84 to 422 of the family's 1533-position model. The record is from RNAcentral.
GCAAUACGGCACCGGCAGACGGGAGAGUAACACGUGGGAACGUGCCCAUCAGUUCGGAACAACCCAGGGAAACUUGGGCUAAUACCGGAUACGCCCUUACGGGGAAAGAUUUAUCGCUGAUGGAGCGGCCCGCGUCUGAUUAGCUAGUCGGUGAGGUAACGGCUCACCAAGGCGACGAUCAGUAGCUGGUCUGAGAGGAUGAUCAGCCUCACUGGGACUGAGACACGGCCCAGACUCCUACGGGAGGCAGCAGUGGGGAAUAUUGGACAAUGGGCGCAAGCCUGAUCCAGCCAUGCCGCGUGGAUGAUGAAGGCCUUAGGG